RNAcentral lists this ribosomal RNA (253 nucleotides) under uncultured bacterium. RNAcentral's name for it is "partial 16S ribosomal RNA". It matches the Rfam family "Bacterial small subunit ribosomal RNA", at positions 524 to 776 of the family's 1533-position model. The record is from RNAcentral.
UACGUAGGGUGCGAGCGUUAAUCGGAAUUACUGGGCGUAAAGCGUGCGCAGGCGGUUCGCCAAGUCAGGUGUGAAAUCCCCGGGCUUAACCUGGGAAUUGCGCUUGAAACUGGCGGGCUUGAGUGUGGCAGAGGGGGGUGGAAUUCCGCGUGUAGCAGUGAAAUGCGUAGAGAUGCGGAGGAACACCGAUGGCGAAGGCAGCCCCCUGGGCUGACACUGACGCUCAGGCACGAAAGCGUGGGGAGCAAACAGG